AUAAAGUUAUAACAAGCACAAUAUUAUUAAAUUAAUGCAUGUUGUAUAAUUUACUUGGAGAGUUUUUUUAGCAUGUAACCGAUUUCUUAUUGUUUUUAGUAAAUGUGGCACAUCAGAAAACACAAACACUCUUCAGGUGUUGUCAAAUGGAUUCACAAAUGAAUUUUGAAGUUGAUUUAGUUUCCCACUUACACCCAAAACAUUCCACAAUGUUCUGUUGGUACAUGCACCAUCGCUCGUUAUCCCUAAUACUUCUACACCUGCAUUUUCAAGAAGCAGUAUGGCUUUUGUGACUAUUUUAGCAAGAUCGAUUCCUAUAUAAUUGGGUUGAUGUAAAUUCUCAGCUAAACCUUGAAUCAUCAACACAAGAGCGUGAUUAGCUUUUUCCAAUGAUUUAUUUUCAAAAUCAUCUCCCAAGUCUUCUAAGCCAUGAAGUUUGAAAAACUUCAUC
Long non-coding RNA from Aphis gossypii (cotton aphid), 451 nucleotides. RefSeq lists it as uncharacterized. The transcript is spliced from 3 exons. The record is from RefSeq and is a predicted model, not a curated record. NCBI's taxonomy places the organism in Eukaryota, Metazoa, Arthropoda, Insecta, Hemiptera, Aphididae.